ACCUUAUCGCUGUAAUCCCUCAGGACCCGCUCGAUAGCCCCCGCCUCGCCGGCCCGGACGAUGUAGAGGGCGCGCUCCUCAUCCAUGGCCGCAGGUGCGGGGGAGCCGCGGCCGCUCUGCGCGCCCAAGCCGCUGCCUCCAGGUGAGAAAAUUGAGGCCCAAAACUUGGUCAGCUGAAAAAUGGGGAAGUGUCCAUCAACAGUGAGACACUGCUAUGUGGAAGAGCUGCAGAUACCUGAUUGGCCCUGACUCUCAAUGAGCUAAACUUGAUGACACGUGUAUCAUCUGAGCAAUGAUAUUCAGAGUCC
Long non-coding RNA from Lagenorhynchus albirostris (white-beaked dolphin), 308 nucleotides. RefSeq lists it as uncharacterized. The transcript has 3 exons. Lineage: Eukaryota; Metazoa; Chordata; Mammalia; Artiodactyla; Delphinidae. The record is from RefSeq and is a predicted model, not a curated record.